CAAAUCCCUUUUAUUUUUUUUUUUAACUGAUUUAUUCUACACAAAUCUUUUAAACAACAUUCAUAAAACAUUAAUUACAAAAAUGUGCUAAUAUGGGGUAGGUUUCUUUCUUUUUCUUCUUCUACUUCUUUUUUUUUUUUUUUUUUUUUUUUCAAAUUCCAACUAUCAGAAAUUCACAUUUUGAAAGGACAGGCAUACUUUUAAGAGACACAUUCACUUUACUUCCAGAUACAAAAUUGUGAGGGGUUAUAAAUCAUUUACAAGCAGAUGUAAAAUAAAAGAUUAAAAAAAAAAAAAAAAAAAAAAAAAAGAAAGAAUAAUUUGAAGCUUCAGGAUGUGAUUUCAGCAUUGAAUUGAGCAGCUGCUUUUGGACCACUGGCUCUGCUGCUCUGCCCAGGGUGCCCAGGAGCAAUUUCAGAGCCACACACACUGCUCAGAGCCUGGAGCACAGCAGAAAAAAAUGGGAUUACAAAGCUACCAACAGUGCUGCAGCCUUUUAUUGAGUCCUUCUAGUGGGCACAGACAUGGAGAGGGUGCAUCCCACCCCAAAAACCCAUGGGCAGGCUGUUUUCCAUCAGCCACAGGGCAGUGCCAGCUGGGGCAGGGCAUGGCUUUGGAAUCUGCUGAGGUCCUGCUUCAAAAACAACCCCCCAAAACGGCCAAAAUUCAAGCCUCCACCCCAGUGCUCUUAUGUGGAGCCAGCUCCAAAAUCCACCCAGCUGAAAGCAAAUAUUUGGCUUCAUCCUGCUGGAUUUCAGGGCAGGGGAGGGGGGAGAAGGUAAUUUCCUAAUUGCCCUCAGCCUCCCCAGAAAAAAAUCCUGCCUCUGGCUCCAACGGGCUGAAAUGGAAACAGGAUAUGCUGGGAAAGUUCAGGCCUGGGGAAAUUGUGUUUUUUUUUCCCAAAAGGAUUGAGCAGAACAGGCUCAGCAGCCAAAUCCCAGCUGGGCUCAGGCAGUUUAGCAUCACCCAGCACCAGAGGAGCAUCACCUCUGUGCACAAAGCUGGAAACAUCUGGCACACCACCAGGAAAAAUGUACAAAAGGGGCAAAAAAAGCUGAAUUUCUGGGUAAAACAGCCCCUAAGUCUUGUCUCUAAAGCUGUAGGUGUGGGGAAGGGUGAGCCUUGGGGAGGAGGGUAUGAAAAGAGGAGAAAUUUGGAGGUACAGAAAGAAGAGAAAGUUUGGGGAUACAAAAAGAGGAGAAAGUUUGGAGGUACAAAAAGAAGAGAAAGUUUGGACAUGCAGAAGGAGGAAAAAAAAAUUGGGGGUGCAAAAAGACUAGAAAGUUUGGAGGUACAGAAAGAGGAGAAAUUUGGAGGUGCAGAAAAAGGAAAAAGUUUGGAGGUACAAAAAGAAGAGAAGGUUUGGAGGUGCAGAAAGAGGAGAAAGGUUGGAGGUACAGAAGGAGGAGAAAGUUUGGGGGUACAAAAAGAAGAGAAAGUUUGGGGGUACAAAAAGAGGAUAAAUUUGGAGGUACAGAAAGAGGAGAAAGUUUGGAGGUGCAGAAAGAGGAGAAAUUUGGAGGUGCAGAAAGAGGAUAAAUUUGGAGGUACAAAGCCACAUUUUGCAGAAAACAGGAGGGAUUUGGUCUUUCCUCUCACUCCUGAAGGGUUUCACCACCGAGGUUCAGGGGACACUCCCAGGGCCUUGAGGGGAGCACCGAGGGCAUGGCAAAAUAUUUGCAAAAAAUGAAACUACAAAGCCCCCCUGAAAGCCUCCCAAAGCCAUGAUAACCUCACAGCCACCAGGACUCAAGUCCACAGAGUGGCUGUGCCAGCAGAUAAAGGAGCUGGGGCAAUGACACAGGGCCAGAGCUCCAUCCACCUGGGCUUGCUUUCCUGCCAAAAAUAAAGAAACUGCUUUAUUUAAGUUUGUUACUUGCCCACAGAGCCCCUCUCCAUGCCAGUUCCACCCCUCAGAGCACCUUGGAGGAGGAUUUAAGGAAUAUUUGUCACCCACAUCACUGUCCCUAAAGGUUGUAAAAAGUUUGCUUUUUAAGAAAAAAGAGCUGCUCAAAUCCAAGUUUGGGGGCAUAGAGGUGGAGGGAAGGGGCUGCUCUGCUUGCCUUGGCUUUCAAAACCCAGUUUUGAAAUUUUGGAAAAGGAGAAGCAGAGUCUCAGCUAAAAUAAUCAAAAGAAAACAAACAAAAUUGUGGCGUGCAGGAGCACACACACACAAGCCAGGAAUGGAGAGACAGCAAAGGUCCCAGCUGGCUCUGUCCCUCUGAUUCAGAGGAUCUGAUCCCAGCUCACCUUUCCCCAGGUGAGGAUUCUUUGGCCACUGAGGGAUGUGAGAGUCAGCCAGGGUUCAGAGCAGGCUGCCCAGAGCUAAUUGCUCCCCCGUGCCAGGAGAGCCUCUGCUGCCAGCAGAGCAUUCCCAUGGCACUGCAGGGCACAAGGUCCCUGCCCAGGGCUGGUGGAGCUCCUUGAGUGGCAGCCCCAAAACCUCCUGAAUUUGGGGGGUCCCCAAACCCCCCAGCACCACAGCAGACUGCAGAAGCUCUCUGCUUGGCUGGAAAUUAGGAUGUGGCCUUCCCACAGCUCCCACAGCAGAGAAGUGUUAGGAAACCUCAAGGCAGAGAGGCCAGAAUUUGAUCAAUUUAAGCUCUGUGACUUUUGUGACUUGUGUUUGCCUGGCUGCAGGACCUCAGGGCAGGGCAAGCUGCAGUGAAGCAGCUCCUGCAUAUUGUUUCAAAGCUGAAAAAAAGCUCUAAGCCAUGAAUCCCAAAGCCCUGCUGCCCAUCCUGUCACAAACACAACCAUCCCUGGAGCCCUUCCAGCUCAGCUGUCCCCCUCCAUCCCUCAGGCAGAGAGAGAGGAGUUCAACCCAAUGCCUCACUCUGCAGUUGAAUAAAAAAAAAAAAAAAAAAAAAAAA
This is a long non-coding RNA of Oenanthe melanoleuca, 2873 nucleotides long. RefSeq lists it as uncharacterized. The transcript has 2 exons. NCBI's taxonomy places the organism in Eukaryota, Metazoa, Chordata, Aves, Passeriformes, Muscicapidae. The record is from RefSeq and is a predicted model, not a curated record.